AUUACCAACACAUUUUGGGCUUCGUUGGUUGUGGAGCACAUGAAAACUCCACAGUUAAGCGUGCACAGGUAGGAGCAGUACCAGGACGGGUGACCUCCUGUGAAGUCUCAAAUGUGGCAACC
This 122-nucleotide ribosomal RNA is filed under the name Helianthus annuus (common sunflower). RNAcentral describes it as "sRNA HanXRQr2_Chr09g0399321". The record is from RNAcentral. Lineage: Eukaryota; Viridiplantae; Streptophyta; Magnoliopsida; Asterales; Asteraceae.